This 421-nucleotide ribosomal RNA is filed under the name uncultured eukaryote. Its description in RNAcentral is "bacterial SSU rRNA". It matches the Rfam family "Eukaryotic small subunit ribosomal RNA", at positions 592 to 1018 of the family's 1831-position model. The record is from RNAcentral.
CAAUAGCGUAUAUUAAAGUUGUUGCGGUAAAAAGCUCGUAGUUGGAUUUCUGUUGAGGACGACCGGUCCGUACCAUGUACGCGCAUCUGGUUCGGCCUCGGCAUCCUCUCGAUAGACGUUUCUGCGCUUGAUUGCGUGGUGCGGAAUUCAAGACUUUUACUUUGAGGAAAUUGGAGUGUUUACAGCAGGCAAACGCCCUGAACACAUUAGCAUGGAAUAAUAAUAUAGGGCCUCGGUUCUAUUUUGUUGGUUUCUAGAACUGAGGUAAUGAUUAAUAGGGAUAAUUGGGGGCAUUCGUAUUAACGCGUCAGAGGUGAAAUUCUUGGAUUGCGUUACGACGAACUACUGCGAAAGCAUUUGCCAAGGAUGUUUUCAUUGAUCAAGAACGAAAGUGUGGGGAUCGAAGAUGAUCAGAUACCAU